AUGUAUACACAGUACUUGAAUGUAUUGAGAGCCAUAUAUUUAUGGAAUAAAUGGCUCUGUAUGUAUGGAUACUCGUUUCAAUAUAAACACACAAUGAUAUGGGAAACAUUUAUUGCUGCCUCUGGCAAGAAAAAAACCAAGUUAUUACACAGUUUGGAAGAAACCAUUUUGAAAUCCCUUUUUAACGAACAACGAACGCACAGUGUAGCGGCUGGUUUAGCGCGUGAGAAGAACACACUCCACCCUGGCAACGCGUCCUCCCCUAUCGUUAUAGGCAUGCUCAGCAGAAGGGGAACUGCAACCGCCGCGCCGAACAUCUUCCAGGGAUGGCUUCUGCUGAGCCGUUGUGCUCCAGUUUCUACCACCAGCACUGCGCUUAAGGAACAAAAUAAACACCUUCGCCCUCCUGCUGCCAAGACAGACACACACCACCAUGUACAGCGUGGAGGACCUCCUCAUUUCUCACGGAUACAAACUUCCCAAGACAAGCAUCCCCUGCCCCUCUUCAACUUCAUCCGCCACCGCGCCUUACGAGAAGCAGCGCCACGCCGCCGCCGAUUGCCACCGUGAAAUCCCAGCAGCAGAGAACCAGAGAUCUGGUCGUGGUGGAUCACUGAACGGGAAUGAACAGGCGGGAGACAGAGGGGCCUGCGUCUUCAGCAGCAGCAGGCAGGCACUACUGGCGAAGGGCUACCCCGGCAGCUGCGACAAUGAGAGCGGCGGGGAAAGGAACCAAAGGAGAAAAGAAGCUGUCAGCGGUAACCUAGGUGACAGCCUCGCACAGCCCCUGGGCGAUUCUCUCGCCACGGAUAGCGGGUGAGUUUUUUUUCUCUUUCUCUCUCUUUUGAGAUCCCCACCAUACCUUCCCUCCUUUUUUUUUGUUUUGCCGGGCCCUUCGGCAUUGCAUGCAAAUCCAAGCCAAUCAGUCUACACUGCGCAGGAGGAUGUGUUUUCUUUCUUUCCGUUUCCUUCCAGAGCUGCAGAACGAACACUGAGACUGCUGCACCACUUCCUUGUCUUUCCAGAUGCUGCGGUACAAUGAAGUUUGUGCUCCAAAUGCCACACUGUUCCCUAUAUAGUACACUACUUAUAGGGAUUAGGGUUCCAUUUGGUCAAAAGACGUGCACUGUAUAAGACAGUAGUCACCAACCUUUUCUGAGUCAAGAUCACUUUCCCAGUCAAAAAGCAAGACGAGAUCUACCACUCAGAUAAAAAAAAAAUCAACAUGACUUCAAAAAUGUAACAUUUAACCUAUUAAAAACUAUUCUGUAGGAUUGAGGUUUGUGCAGUAGGUCUAAAACAUUAUCAUAGCAUAUAGGCAAAUGCCUGUCCAGCCAAUAUUGUUAUUCUCAGGCCAUAUUUCAAAACUCGAGCUUUGAUAACAAAAUAGAUCAGUUGGUGUAGCACUUGCGAGGCACUGUGGAGCAUAAAUUGAAAUAAUUUGCUUGUUUAUUUCACUGGACUGAUGGUACCUGCAUCUGAUGGUCAUGGUGCUUUCAAGACAACUGGGAACUUGAAAAAAAGAGAGAGGUCAAAUCAUGACGUCAGUGAUCAUCAGGUUGGAAAGUUGGCAGUCUAGAAAGAUGCCAGAGUUUCCUACUUGGAUUUCCGAGUUCAAAAAGACGUUCUCAGUC
RNAcentral lists this long non-coding RNA (1634 nucleotides) under Oncorhynchus mykiss (rainbow trout). RNAcentral describes it as "lncRNA (ENSOMYG00000060625.1)". The record is from RNAcentral. Lineage: Eukaryota; Metazoa; Chordata; Actinopteri; Salmoniformes; Salmonidae.